AAUAAAGUUAAUGAACUUGCUAUAAGUAUAUAUUUUGAAAGUAUAAAAAAGAGACAAAAUUCUCUAUUAACUU
RNAcentral lists this transfer RNA (73 nucleotides) under Lepyrus sp. G312. RNAcentral describes it as "tRNA-Ser". The record is from RNAcentral. Lineage: Eukaryota; Metazoa; Arthropoda; Insecta; Coleoptera; Curculionidae.